Molecule: ribosomal RNA, 514 nt
Filed under: Acantholeberis curvirostris
Lineage: Eukaryota; Metazoa; Arthropoda; Branchiopoda; Diplostraca; Macrotrichidae
Description: bacterial SSU rRNA
Rfam family: Eukaryotic small subunit ribosomal RNA
Source: RNAcentral
GUGAUUGGAAUGAGUACACUUUAAAUCCUUUAACGAGGACCCAUUGGAGGGCAAGUCUGGUGCCAGCAGCCGCGGUAACUCCAGCUCCAAUAGCGUAUAUUAAAGUUGUUGCGGUUAAAAAGCUCGUAGUCGGAUGUCUGUCUUCGGCCGGGCGGCGCCGCUCUGAAUCAAGGGUGCGCGCUCGCUCUGGGAGGGGGGUGUCAAAGCCUCCCUCUCUUCGCGGUCGGACAACACCGCCGGAGUGGUGGUUUUGGCGGGCCGGGACCUCGAACCGGUCGGCGCGUUCGCGCGCGUUGGCCGUCUUCGAAUCCGGUCGGCCGCCACCCGUAAUCGUCCGGGGUGCCCUUCACCGGGUGUCUCGGGCGGCCGGCAACGUUUACUUUGAACAAAUUAGAGUGCUCAAAGCAGGUGCAACCCAACGCCUGAAUAUCACAGCAUGGAAUGAUGAAAGAGGACCUCGGUCUUAUUUUGCUGGUCUUUUCUAGACCCGAGGUAAUGGUCAAUAGAGACGGAC